AUACUUACCUGGCAGGGGAAAUACCAUGAUCACAAAGGUGGUUUUCCCCAGGCAAGUCUUAUCCAUUAUAUUCCAAUUGUGCUGACCCCUGCAAUUUCUCCAAAUGUGGGGAACUUGACUGCAUAAUGUAGUGGGGGACUGCAUUCAAAAUCUCCCCUG
Molecule: small nuclear RNA, 159 nt
Organism: Pteronotus mesoamericanus
Lineage: Eukaryota; Metazoa; Chordata; Mammalia; Chiroptera; Mormoopidae
Product: U1 spliceosomal RNA
Exons: 1
Source: RefSeq, a predicted model, not a curated record